GACGAACGCUGGCGGCGUGCUUAACACAUGCAAGUCGAACGGAAAGGCCCUGCUUUUGUGGGGUGCUCGCGUGGCGAACGGGUGAGUAACACGUGAGUAACCUGCCCUUGACUUUGGGAUAACUUCAGGAAACUGGGGCUAAUACCGGCUAGGAGCUCGUGCUGCAUGGGGGGGGUUGGAAAGUUUGGGUGGAUGGGGAUGGACUCGCGGCUUAUUAGCUUGUGGGGGGGGUAGUGGCUUACCAAGGCUUUGACGGGUAGCCGGCCUGAGAGGGUGACCGGCCACAUGGGGACUGAGAUACGGCCCAGACUCCUACGGGAGGCAGCAGUGGGGAAUAUUGCACAAUGGGCGGAAGCCUGAUGCAGCAACGCCGCGUGCGGGAUGACGGCCUUCGGGUUGUAAACCGCUUUCGCCUGUGACGAAGCGUGAGUGACGGUAAUGGGUAAAGAAGCACCGGCUAACUACGUG
RNAcentral lists this ribosomal RNA (468 nucleotides) under uncultured bacterium. RNAcentral's name for it is "partial 16S ribosomal RNA". It matches the Rfam family "Bacterial small subunit ribosomal RNA", at positions 28 to 507 of the family's 1533-position model. The record is from RNAcentral.